This is a long non-coding RNA of Elaeis guineensis (African oil palm), 472 nucleotides long. RefSeq lists it as uncharacterized. Lineage: Eukaryota; Viridiplantae; Streptophyta; Magnoliopsida; Arecales; Arecaceae. The record is from RefSeq and is a predicted model, not a curated record.
UACUUCUAAGCUUCUUAACCUUCAGUUGUUUUUGAGGAAUGGCAUCCUUGAAGACUGCAAAACCUUUCGGCCUCACGACACAGCCCAAGAUAGGGGAGAGCGCAUCCAAGGCGCAGGCCUGCAAAAAAGGCGAGCAGAAGCCCCGCCAACCCAAGAAGAAGGGUAAGAGUAGCAAACCAGCAGCUAAGAAUUAGAGGCAGCAACUAGAAAGUUGGGAGAUCCCACAUGGACUCGAGUUAUAUCGAGAAUUGUGUUUCUUUUCUUUGUUUUUUUUUUUUUAUGUGCUUCCUUUGUCUCUUUUUUUGGUUUUCUUGCUCUGACGGUGAUGUUUAUGUCGUGAACUCUAUUGGAUGUAUGUUGGAUGUUCGGCUUGGCCUAGUGAGAUGAAGGCAAGGAUAGGUACCACUAUUGCAUAAAUAGUGGUAAUUGUAUAAUAAUGCUAUGAUCAUAUAAACAGGUAAUUUAUUAUGUG